This 74-nucleotide transfer RNA is filed under the name Cordylochernes scorpioides. Its description in RNAcentral is "tRNA-Thr". It matches the Rfam family "tRNA". From Rfam's summary of the family: Transfer RNA (tRNA) molecules are approximately 80 nucleotides in length. Their secondary structure includes four short double-helical elements and three loops (D, anti-codon, and T loops). The record is from RNAcentral. Lineage: Eukaryota; Metazoa; Arthropoda; Arachnida; Pseudoscorpiones; Chernetidae.
GUCCAGGGUAGCCUAGUGGACAUGGCAUCUGCCCGGUAAGCGGAACACUGUGGGUUCGAUUCCCACCUCGGAGA